AAUGAACGCUGGCGGCAUGCCUAACACAUGCAAGUCGAACGAAGUCUUCGGACUUAGUGGCGCACGGGUGCGUAACGCGUGGGAAUCUGCCCUUGGGUACGGAAUAACUCAGAGAAAUUUGUGCUAAUACCGUACUAAUGUCUUCGGACCAAAGAUUUAUCGCCCAAGGAUGAGCCCGCGUAGGAUUAGGUAGUUGGUGAGGUAAAAGCUCACCAAGCCGACGAUCCUUAGCUGGUCUGAGAGGAUGAUCAGCCACACUGGGACUGAGACACGGCCCAGACUCCUACGGGAGGCAGCAGUGGGGAAUAUUGGACAAAUGGCGCAAGCCUGAUCCAGCAAUGCCGCGUGAGUGAUGAAGGCCUUAGGGUUGUAAAGGCUCUUUUACCCGGGAUUGAGUAAUGGACAGUACCGGAGAAUAAGCUCCGGCUAACUUCGUGUCCAGCAGCCGCGGUAAAACCGUUAGCCGUG
This 468-nucleotide ribosomal RNA is filed under the name uncultured bacterium. RNAcentral describes it as "bacterial SSU rRNA". It matches the Rfam family "Bacterial small subunit ribosomal RNA", at positions 29 to 536 of the family's 1533-position model. The record is from RNAcentral.